Molecule: ribosomal RNA, 492 nt
Filed under: uncultured bacterium
Lineage: Bacteria
Description: partial 16S ribosomal RNA
Rfam family: Bacterial small subunit ribosomal RNA
Source: RNAcentral
AGUGAACGCUGGCGGUAGGCCUAACACAUGCAAGUCGAACGGCAGCACAGCAAGAGCUUGCUCUUACGGGUGGCGAGUGGCGGACGGGUGAGGAAUACAUCGGAAUCUACUUUUUCGUGGGGGAUAACGUAGGGAAACUUACGCUAAUACCGCAUACGACCUACGGGUGAAAGCAGGGGAUCUUCGGACCUUGCGCGAUUGAAUGAGCCGAUGUCGGAUUAGCUAGUUGGCGGGGUAAGGGCCCACCAAGGCGACGAUCCGUAGCUGGUCUGAGAGGAUGAUCAGCCACACUGGAACUGAGACACGGUCCAGACUCCUACGGGAGGCAGCAGUGGGGAAUAUUGGACAAUGGGCGCAAGCCUGAUCCAGCCAUACCGCGUGGGUGAAGAAGGCCUUCGGGUUGUAAAGCCCUUUUGUUGGGAAAGAAAAGCAGCAGGUUAAUACCCCGCUGUUCUGACGGUACCCAAAGAAUAAGCACCGGCUAACUUCGUG